UUGCCCUGACUGCUUUCCUUUCUGCACUCCCAGUGCUCCAAGCCAGCCUUGCCCUGACUGCUUUCCUUUCCGCACUCCCAGUGCCUCCAAGCAAGCCUUGACUGCUUCCUUUCUGCACUCCCAGUGCCUAGUCUCUUUGACUCUAUCUGGAGAGAUCAGCCUCUCUCCUACCUGCUUCCUGGGAGGAAGCCAGCAAUCCCU
Molecule: non-coding RNA, 201 nt
Organism: Pelobates cultripes (western spadefoot toad)
Lineage: Eukaryota; Metazoa; Chordata; Amphibia; Anura; Pelobatidae
Source: the annotation of a GenBank genome assembly